AAUGGAUUAACGAGAUUCCCAUUGUCCCUAGCUACUAUCCAACGAAACCACAGCCAAGGGAACGGGCAUGGUAAAAAUAGCGGGGAAAGAAGACCCUGCUGAGCUUGGCUCUAGUUUGACAUUGUGAAGAGUCAUGAGAGGUGUAGCAUAGCUAGGAGACAUCGGUCAACAAUGAAAUACCAUCACUUUCAUCGAUUCUUUACUUAUUCGGUGGGAAGAGGAUUGAGCUUCGGCUCUUUUUUCUUUGUCUUAAGCAAAGCCAUCCGGUGGCCUUGCGACUCUCGCCGGAGACAGCGCCGGCGAGGAGUUUGACGGGGGCGCUACAUCUGCCAAAUCGUAACGCAGGUGUCCUAAGGCUAGCUCAGAGAGGACGGAAAUUUUUCGUAGAGCAAAAGGACAAAAGCUUGCUUGAUCUUGACUUUCAAUUCGAGUACAGACCGCGAAAGCGAUCGAUCCAGUUAGUUUCUGGUAAGAGGUGUCAGAAAGGUUACCAUAGGGAUAACUGGCCUGUGGCUGCCAAGCGUCCAUAGCGACGUUGCUUUCUGAUCCUUCAAUGUCUGCUCUUCCUAUCAUUGCGAAGCAG
Molecule: non-coding RNA, 583 nt
Filed under: Oesophagostomum dentatum (nodular worm)
Lineage: Eukaryota; Metazoa; Nematoda; Chromadorea; Rhabditida; Strongylidae
Description: Eukaryotic large subunit ribosomal RNA
Rfam family: Eukaryotic large subunit ribosomal RNA
Source: Rfam by way of RNAcentral